This is a long non-coding RNA of Peromyscus eremicus (cactus mouse), 4983 nucleotides long. RefSeq lists it as uncharacterized. The record is from RefSeq and is a predicted model, not a curated record. Lineage: Eukaryota; Metazoa; Chordata; Mammalia; Rodentia; Cricetidae. The transcript has 4 exons.
UCAGAGGUUCAAGAUCAUACUCAGCUAUACAGUGAGCUCAAGGACAGGCUGAAAUACACGAGACCCUGUCUAUGAAUGAAUGCUUGAAUUAAAUGUAAAAAGCUUUUAGCCAAGGAUAGAGUUCAGUUGAGAGAGCACAUGCCUCUUGAUUUCACGUUGAUCAGUCUUGCCUCCUCUGACACAGAAGAGCUCCAUCGAUGAGGCCAAUGCAACAUCAAAGCAAAUAGCUAACUGAGCAUGCCCUCUCUCUACCACCACAUCUAUUUUUUUUAAUAGACCUACUGGCACUGGCCUGUAAUCCCAGAUACUCAGAAGGCUAAGGCAGGAAGAUCCCAAGUUCGAGGUCUGUUUGUUUCAAAAUAAAAAGUUUAAAAGGGGCUGGUGAUAUAGCUUAGUGGUAGAAUAUUCACCUAACAUGCAAAAAGUCUGUACCAUCAGCAAGAAAAAAAGCAGUCUCCUUUUCCAGCAGCCUACCUCUUACACCUCAAAUAAAGGGAGAACUAGGUAGAGCAGGAAUCCCUAACAGUGGAGGGCCACCUAGUGGUCGUCUAUUCUAGUCACAAUGAGAAGGCUCCAGCUUGCCCUGGAUGGCUCACUCACUGAAGAGGUUCAGCUUCUUGUCAGCCUGCAGGGCUUCCUCUCGGGUGAAGGGGAAGUCAAACCAGCGAGAACGGCUCAGAUUAAGCUGCAUGGUUCUGCCAAAGAUCUCGAUGUAUGACGGAGCCCGUUCAAUUGCCUGGGUCCCAAUCUGGAUCCGCAUGCCUGUCAUCACCAUAGUGCUGCUGUUGUUGCUAAUCUCAAUGGUGAAGCCACCAGGCUGCAAGGACAAAAGCACAUGUCACAAAUUCCCAGAACCUUUCUUCCCACACUGCCUCAGUGGCUACUAGGUAAGACCUCAUUUCUUUAACUCCAUCCUAAUCAUGUCAUGACCAAGGGAGGAGAGAGAGAGUGUCAGGCUCCCUCCCCCGCAACUCCACGCCCCCCCCAAGCAUUAACCACCCUGUCGUUCUGUACAUAGUAACCCUGCUAACAAUAGUUCAAAUUUAGCCUAGUGGGACUCAAGACCUUCAGCAGUUGAAAAAUGUCGAUUUAUUCAAGGAUCAUUUGAGCAGAAGUGAGCAACUCUUGAGUACAUAUUCUAUGUCUGAUUCUAAGGAAGAUGUGUGGAGUGCUGCUCAAUGGUGGAGUGCCUGGGUUCAAGCCUAGUGCUGAAAAGACAGACACGAGUUGGCCACAAGAGUGCUAACCCAGAAAGUGAGCCAGCCCUGUGUACUCCUCACCUUGGUGUUAGCCACAUACAUGCCAGUGGAGUUCAGUCUGUGCUUUAUCUGUUGUGCAUUGUAGACUUGCAGGAGGUCAUUACCACCAAACUCUACAUCCGUCAGCUGCUGGUUGUGUUCAAAAAAGUCGAUGGGGAAGGUCACCUGGCUGGAUGUGCGGGCUGCUGUGGGGACAGUGCCAGUUUGCUCGGGAGCACUGGUGCAUGGUCUCAGCACCUCUGCUCACUCCAGGGUUAAACAUGGAGCCCAUGCUCGUACACUCCAAUCUCUAACCAAAUGAGAUUCCAUCAUCUGUCCCAUCACAAUGCUUAUCAAGAUCGGCUCUCCAGCAUACCACCCCAACCACUGUGACCCACCAUACAAAACCUGGUAUCAGUAUGGAGUGUACAGUUCAUAACACAACAGAAUCUAUUUCUUUACAAGAUGAUAAGCUACAUCAUCAUCUCAAACAUGAAAAAUCUAGAACAAUUUAAGAAAACAUAAUGAUGCCUACAGUGUACUUCACUUAGCCAGGAUCAUUCCCUCCUAAAAUCACACUUCCUGUUCUUCAAAGAGUCCUCUCACAGCCAGGAGCAAGACCUGACGUCCAUACUAGUCUGUGGGAAAUUAGGCAACUGAAGGAUCUACGCUUCAAUGAAAUCAAAUGCACAGGCUUCAUGAUGCUGAUGACGCUGCUGGGCUGCAGGGAAGGCUGGAGCCAGUAAGAGGUGUUCUCCACAUUGGCCAUGUAAAUGCGCAGGCUGCCGUCCUCACACAGCAGGAUCAUGGUCGUCCGCUGCUGCUCAUUGCAGGCGGUGUGUCUAAUGGCCACCAUGUCUUGGAUCUAGGAGGAGAGGAUAAAAGUGUUCUAGAAUUAAAAGGAAGCCAUCAUCACUUACCUUGACAAAGUCUGCAGUGACAAUGGCCAGCUCAGUCUGUGAACCAGGUAACCACACAGCUUUGAUGAUGAAGUUCCCUGUUGCCAACUGGGGAUGUAACACCAAGUGAUCCGAAACAGAGCCCGAGCUACUGAAGGAACUGCCUCUACCUACCCCAGCAGAUCAGGAGUCUGCCACGCAGAGCUGGGCGAGCAGUCCUAAGGCAGAAGACUGACAGGCUGCGUCCCAAGUCGAAAGAAUAACUAAAGGAAAGCUGUCUUUAACUCAGGGCUGGAGGUCAGAAAAGGACAAAGCUACUGAGCCUUAGGAAGGAAGGCACAGUCAAGAGGCUUUCAAUUUUCUACAAAGGAGUUUCUGUUAGAGUGCUCCCAAAAUGGAGCUCUUCACAUCUUAGGAGUUCAUGCAUUCAGAAGCUUUAAUAAAAAGAGGACUUACUCCCUAAAUACCCAGACCACAGCUCAUCUGUGGGUUUCUACAUUGCUCAGAGUAUAGCUGAGGAAGGAUGAGACCACAGAUUCUAGGUUCUGCUUGGCCUGGGACCAACUAACUCUAAAUCUAUUCCCAGUUGCUCUGGCACAUAUUGGGAAGCCGUGAAGUACAGGUUGUAUAGUCACCAAACCUUGCGACCCUAACACACUCACCAUCAGCUGGUCCGUCAUCUCCACAACCUUGUCCACUGUAUGGAGUUCGCUGAGGGCCUGCUGUGCUCGGCUGCUGCUCCCCACAGCUGAAGCCUGCUGAAAGUUGGUCUGAAUGGCAUCCAUGAGGAAAUUGAGCAUGUCUAACACGAGAGGAGCGAAGGAGAAAUUGGCCUGAGAGAAAUCGAAAUACACAAGUGAAAAAAAAAAAAAAAGAAAGAAAAGAACGAAAAAUCAUGGGUCAUAUGUAAUGAUCUUGACAGUUAUUGCCUUUAGCAAACUGGUUUCCCUCUCCAGAAUCCUAGCUCUGACUGCAGUCAAUGCACUACUGAUGAGGGGAGUAUUUCUAAGCCAGGGUCCCACAGACACCCUAAGUCAUUCAACGCACCCAGCAUAUAUAACCACCUCUCUCCUAUGCAUACAUAAUGUGAAAAACAGAAAAAACAAUCACUCAAUGGUUUCCUGAACUCUGGGCCCAGAUGAGGACCCCUGGCCAAGAAAGCAUGUUCUAGAAUGACUCCCACUACUGUAAAAUCUUCCCCAGAGAUGGAUAACACACACUCCUGGCAUGAUCACUGCAAGAACGAGAGAGGACACCGGGCUGCCAGGAGAGCCUCACACUACUGACUCAAGACUUGCUAAACUCUGUCCCGUGCACUAGUGCCCAUCGGGAAGCCCCACCUGAUUCUGCAGCUCCUCACGGCACCCCUCAACUGUGCGGCACAGGCUGCUCUUCUUGGGCUUCUCUUCCUCAGUAACCUUCCCAUCACUGAUGGUGACCUUGGCCUUGUCAGCAGGUGAGGUGCUGGCAUGGCGCACCAAACUCUCGGAAACCCUUGGUUCGCUCUGAAAUGCUGACUCCUUCAUGGUAGAGCUCAUGCCGCUGCUAGGAGUUCGUUUCACCAGUGCCUAGGGACAGAAAAGGUCCGUGUCCCCAAGUUCUUGCCACAAGCCAGAUGAAAUACUGCUAAGAUACUGGAAGCAGAGGAGGAACUGGCUAUACAUGUGAUUCCCAAGCCCAGCUCCAUGGGGCUCACCCAACGCCUAUCUGCACUGCCCACUAAGAGCAUCAGGUCUUGACUCUACGAGGAGCUUGUCGCUUUGGGGCCACAAAUGGACAUGUCACUCAUAACAGAAUGAGAACAAAUUCUUGGCCAUACAGAGCUAACAUGGGAAUUUUCUGGUCUGCCUUAGACAUUCCUGUGUUACUAACAAGUUGCCCAUAUGACACCAUGAAGGUUCCAUCUCUCACCAAGCAGCUGCCAUCUUCCUUGGCUCCACAGUCACAGAAAAAAGAACCAUACUUGGCGUAGGAAAUCUCAUGAUCCUUGUGGCACACCUUCGCACAUACUGUGCACACCCCCACCCCAUCCACCAUCUUACAGGUAUGACAGUGGUACCUACAAGGAACAAAAGCCAGCACUAAGUCACAGGUCCCAGCACCAGAGGCCCAGAUAGCCUGACUUUAAAGGAACUCACCAGUGCUGGUUCAUAAACUCCUUCUGGGUGAUGGUGAAGGUGCAGAGUUUAUUGCAAAGAGAAUCUUCAUCCUUCAAAGAUCAAUAGGUCUUUUUAAUCACACAUAAUCUCCACAUAGGAACCCAUAAAACACAUCUGCUCCCACACUCCAUGGAGAGACACACCGGGACUAGUGGGAACCUGCCCUGAUUUGAAAGACCCAGCUGUCUGAAGCCUCCUACAAUUUCAAGUGCAAUUUUCUAGUUUUCUUUUAAGAGGGGGGGAGGGGUGGUGAUAUAUUGUGUACCCUAAUAAACUUUGCCUCAAGAUCAGAGAACAGAACAAGCCACUAGAUUAACCAUAGAUGCCAAGCAGUGGUGGCACACACCUUUAAUCCUAGCACUCGGGAGGCAUCUCAGCACUAGGAAGGAAGUGAGGGCGGGCAGAGAAAGGUAUACAAGGCCUGAGGAGACAGGAACUAACGGCUUUUUGGCUGGAGAGCCUUCGGCUGAGGACUCAGAGGCGUCAGUCAGAGGAUUCGUGGAGUUGGCGAGAUAAGAUGUGGCUGUGGCUUAUUCCUUUGUCUCUCUGAUCUCUCAGCAUUUACUCUAAUAUCUGGCUCUGGGGUUUUUAUUAAAAGACCAUUUAGCAGUUCACGUUACAGGGAGCAGGGAGCAGGCAAUUAAAAACCCUUAGUGCAUUCAAGGGUCCUCCACCUCAUGAAGAAUG